Molecule: non-coding RNA, 218 nt
Organism: Pelobates cultripes (western spadefoot toad)
Lineage: Eukaryota; Metazoa; Chordata; Amphibia; Anura; Pelobatidae
Source: the annotation of a GenBank genome assembly
CUUUGACUGACAGACGCUCACUCACUGACCAACACAUACACACUCACUGACGGACACACACACCCACUCAUUGACAAACAGUGGCAUGCACACCCACUCACUGAUUUGACACACUGAUAGACAGACACACACACACACUCACCGACCGACACACAGACUCACACUCACUGACAGACUCACGCACUCACUGACCGACACACACACACACACACAGACAC